Molecule: long non-coding RNA, 1621 nt
Organism: Amphiprion ocellaris (clown anemonefish)
Lineage: Eukaryota; Metazoa; Chordata; Actinopteri; Pomacentridae
Exons: 3
Source: RefSeq, a predicted model, not a curated record
GGUUACGGCUGUUCAUUCAGUUCCAAAGAAACAAAUACUCCAACGAAAAGCGCUGCCAUCCGGUUUGGGAACAGAGGAAGAAACACAAAUGAGGGAAAAGAAAAAAUAAACCAAACUCAAAGGUCCGUGCCGUCUUACAGGUGCGGCGGAGAUGCUCGCGUUGCAGCUGGGCAUCCUUCGGGCGGUAUCCAGUAACGGCGGACAACUUGUCGAGAUUGUGUUGGGGGAGGCCAACACCACGAACCAUGUGUCACUGACUUGCCACCAUACUGCUUUGGAGGCUGGCAGAUAUGAGGAAGUCGUAGGGCGGCGCUCCCAGCGCGGAGAAGGCAACCAUAUUACUGGCUGGAAAGCAGAUGGGCUGAUGGGGCGUGGAGAUACCCUAGAAGAUGCGUCUGAUGCUAUCUUUGGGGGCACUUGAAGGCCAUGGUGUAUCAGGUGGAGAUACGAGACAUAAAUCAUCUCCAGGAACAUUUCACCAACGCCAUCACAAGCAGAACUUCAACUGUGCUGAUGCAAGUUCAUCAACAGUGGAAAACACGCAUUAAUAUGUGUUUUCCAAACAAUGGUAAUCAUAUAGAGCACAUUAUAGAAAUAAAAACGGUUGUCCAACAUAAAAUGUUUAUUUUUCCUAUGUAUGGACACUUAUGGCCCACCCUAUAUAUCGGUUCCAGGUAGUGGCUCUAAAAAACAAAACAAGUCGGUCAAUCCAAACUUUCUUCUUCUCUGGAUCUCACAGGUAGAAAAUCUAAAGAUUUAGUUAAUCAAAUCUGGAACUCUUUUCUUUAAGGGUGCUUUCACACCUACGUCUUUUAGUCCGCUUAAAGCGGACUGGAGUCCGCAACACCUGCAAGUACGGUUCGUUUGGGCUGAUGUGAAAGCAUACCAGAUUUUUUUGGUUCGGACUAACGAACCGCACCGAGACCACCUUUGGGAGGUGGUCUCGGUCCGCUUCUAUGUGAACUCCAGUUCGGUUCGCUCCUGGUGAGAACACAAACCUGUCUCCAUUCGGACCACUUGAUGGCGCAGCAGACUUUUUGGUCUACGGGAGCUUCCGUAGCAACCUGCACAGGGAAUUUUACGCCAAUCAGCGUACACCUACGUCAUCGUAAACGCCUUGUUUUGUAAACAGCGCCGCCAAACGACUGGGGGGAGAUAUAACAUUAAUUGGAGUAGGUUCACCUGCGAAAACACUGGUGUGAAUGCGAACCGAACCAGUUGAAAAUAGCAACAUUGUAACAACUUUUGGGUCCAAACGAACCACUUUAGCGGACUAACAGGUGUGAAAGUACCCUAACUCUUGAUUCAAACAGCUGGAGCUGCUCGGUACUCAGUCACAUCUUUGCCUUCCUCUUAACCUCAUGACAGCGAUGCCCUGCAGCUCAGGAAGCCCAAUGAUUGGACCUAAACCAUGAGAAGAAGAAGAAAUUCUCCCACCAGAUCCAAUGACAGAGCACUCAGAGAGCUGAGGAGGGGUCCACGCUGGGAGAGUCAAGAGGAUAAAAUGAGGUGAAUGGAUCCCAGUGAAGCUGCUUACCUUGGGGGAGGAGGAGGCCAGCUCUCUGCCCAUCACUGCUGCCACCGGACCGGGCCCCACCAAACCAGGCCCCACUAGGCUGGG